GGCCAGGUAGCUCAGUCGGUAGAGCAGAGGACUGAAAAUCCUCGUGUCGGCAGUUCGAUUCUGUCCCUGGCCA
Molecule: transfer RNA, 73 nt
Filed under: Betaproteobacteria bacterium
Lineage: Bacteria; Pseudomonadati; Pseudomonadota; Betaproteobacteria
Also listed under: 14 other names
Description: tRNA-Phe
Rfam family: tRNA
About the family: Transfer RNA (tRNA) molecules are approximately 80 nucleotides in length. Their secondary structure includes four short double-helical elements and three loops (D, anti-codon, and T loops).
Source: RNAcentral